Acanthosepion pharaonis is the source of this 106-nucleotide non-coding RNA. The record is from the annotation of a GenBank genome assembly. Lineage: Eukaryota; Metazoa; Mollusca; Cephalopoda; Sepiida; Sepiidae.
CAAUGUCACAUUGAAACACCGGUUUGUAUUUGAUCACCGGAGUUAAGCAAUGUCAAGCUUAGUCAGUACCUAGACAGGUGACUGCUUGGGAAUACCGGGUGUUGUA